GAUGAACGAGGGCGGAGGGGGGAAAAACGGCAACUCGAAAGACGAAGCCCAGCUUGCUGGGUGGAUUAGUGGCGAACGGGUGAGUAACACGUGAGUAACCUGCCCUUAACUCUGGGGUAAGCCUGGGAAACUGGGUCUAAUACCGGAUAGGAGCGUCCACCGCAUGGUGGGUGUUGGAAAGAUUUAUCGGUUUUGGAUGGACUCGCGGCCUAUCAGCUUGUUGGUGAGGUAAUGGCUCACCAAGGCGACGCCGGUCAUCCGGCCUGAGAGGGUGGCCGGCCCCACUGGGACUGAGGCACGGCCCAGACUCCUACCGGAGGCAGCAGUCGGGAGUAUUGCACAAGGGGCGCAAGCCUGAUGCAGCGACGCCGCGUGAGGGGUUCCCGCCUGCGGGUUGUAAACCUCUUUCAGUAGGGAAGAAGCGAAAGUGACGGUACCUGCAGAAGAAGCACCGGCUCCCUACGUC
RNAcentral lists this ribosomal RNA (466 nucleotides) under uncultured bacterium. RNAcentral's name for it is "partial 16S ribosomal RNA". It matches the Rfam family "Bacterial small subunit ribosomal RNA", at positions 28 to 507 of the family's 1533-position model. The record is from RNAcentral.